UACGUAGGGUGCAAGCGUUGUCCGGAAUUAUUGGGCGUAAAGCGUGCGUAGGCGGCUUUGUAAGUCGGAAGUGAAAGCCUGAGGCUCAACCUCAGAAUUGCUUUCGAUACUGCAGAGCUCGAGUGUCAGAGGGGAUAGCGGAAUUCCUAGUGUAGAGGUGAAAUUCGUAGAUAUUAGGAGGAACACCGGUGGCGAAGGCGGCUAUCUGGCUGACAACUGACGCUGUUGCACGAAAGCGUGGGGAGCAAACAGG
RNAcentral lists this ribosomal RNA (253 nucleotides) under uncultured bacterium. RNAcentral describes it as "partial 16S ribosomal RNA". It matches the Rfam family "Bacterial small subunit ribosomal RNA", at positions 524 to 776 of the family's 1533-position model. The record is from RNAcentral.